CACCACGCCCGGAUAAUUUUUUUUUUUUUUUUUUUAGUGGAGAUGGGGUUUCACUGUAUUAGCCAGGAUGGUCUUGAUCUCCUGACCUCGUGAUCUGCCCACCUCGGCCUCCCAAAGUUUUGGUAUUACAGGCGUGAGCCACUGCGCCCAGCCUCCAGCAUGAUUUUUUUAGGGCGUUCUUUUGUGUGAAAUAAUUCAAGGAUCCACUCUAACUGCCUGCCUGACCGGUUUUUUCCUUUCUCCUCUCUCAUCAGGUCCCUGGUUCCCAUGACUGCAGCUUCCUGAAGAGCAGAGAUUUGGUAUCCUGCUCACAGCGCCAAAACUGCAGGGGCCAAGGAAAGGUACAAAAUUCUUGUGUGCAGCCUCUUUUGGACUCCAGCUCUUGUUCUCUUGCUGAAUCCCACCCCCACCCAUUCAAGUCAUAGGCUGUGAUUCACCUGUGGGCUUCUGAAGGCUAGAAGCUUCCACAGUGAGCCAGGAAACAAGUUCUGAUUGGCUGGAAACAGACCCCUGCUCCAAGAUUCGGGGCUGGCAGUAUUCCUUCUGUUCUGGUGGCUCAGUCCUCAUGACUUUCCUCUGGACUUGCAAGUUAUUCCAACAAACCCCAGCUGCUCUGCAGUGAAAUGUUCCAAAUAAUUAAUAUUUCUGCAGGAAUUACCUUGUAAAAGAUAUGUGCUUUUAAGCAUUUGGUAGUGCAAAUGUUUUUGACUGCCUUUUGUGGCCAAUUUUCUCCUUCAGCGGGACUCAUGUAUAAUUUUAGAUAAAAGUACAAGGAAAUUAUAUUUCCAUAAUCAUAAGUCUUCUUUCAGCAAUACACGUAUCUUCAGAGAAUCCCAGUCUCCCUGCAGCAUCCUCCUGGUGCACAGACAAAAACUGCUGAAUUCUGGCAAGAUACUCAAAGGAUUCUGACAGGUGACCAUCUCAGGCCAGAGAUAUGCCCAACCAACUGGAGAAGCAGAGACAGCCAUGGACAGAUCUGCUGAUGCUGAAGUAUAUAGACAGCUGAGGUACAACCCGUAUAAUCACCCAGAUGUUAUUAGGCCAUGAUCAUUCUGUAGUUAGCUACCUCCCUUCUGUGUUUCCUCUCACCUGAGAACCUAUUGUGGCCACUUCCAAGGCCCCACUGUGUCCAAAUCACACCACCACCAAAGCUCACAGAAACACGCUGGUAGAUUUCUCCUCUUUGGUGGUUUCCCAUGACCAGCCAAGCGAAAUACCCAACAGUCAUUCUCAGUGCGCACAGAUUUACCUUCAGUUUUUUUGGUUAUAUUGUCAUUAUUAUGACAAAGAACAUAUUAUUAUUAUAUGUUCUUUGCCAAGUGGGAGAGUUAAGGGGCCUGCUAUGGACUGAACUCUGUCCCCCUCAAAUUCAUAUGUUGAAGCCCCAACCUUCAAUGUUACUAUAUUUGGAAACGGUCCCUUUAUGGAGGUAAAGUUAAAUGAGAUCAGAAGAGUGGGGCCCUUGUUCGACAGAAUUGGUGUCCUUACAAGAAAAGGAAGAGGCUGAGUGCAGUGGCUCACACCUAUAAUCCCAGCACUUUGGGAAGCUGAGGCGGGAGGUACGCUUGGGCCCAGGAGUUCAAGACCAGCUUGAGCAAUGUAACAAGACUCUAUCUCUACAGAAAA
Mandrillus leucophaeus (drill) is the source of this 1626-nucleotide long non-coding RNA. RefSeq lists it as uncharacterized. The record is from RefSeq and is a predicted model, not a curated record. The transcript has 2 exons. Lineage: Eukaryota; Metazoa; Chordata; Mammalia; Primates; Cercopithecidae.